UAGGGAAUCUUCGGCAAUGGGGGCAACCCUGACCGAGCAACGCCGCGUGAGUGAAGAAGGUUUUCGGAUCGUAAAGCUCUGUUGUAAGUCAAGAACGGGUGUGAGAGUGGAAAGUUCACACUGUGACGGUAGCUUACCAGAAAGGGACGGCUAACUACGUGCCAGCAGCCGCGGUAAUACGUAGGUCCCGAGCGUUGUCCGGAUUUAUUGGGCGUAAAGCGAGCGCAGGCGGUUUGAUAAGUCUGAAGUUAAAGGCUAUGGCUCAACCAUAGUUCGCUUUGGAAACUGUCAAACUUGAGUGCAGAAGGGGAGAGUGGAAUUCCAUGUGUAGCGGUGAAAUGCGUAGAUAUAUGGAGGAACACCGGUGGCGAAAGCGGCUCUCUGGUCUGUAACUGACGCUGAGGCUCGAAAGCGUGGGGAGCGAACAGG
This 429-nucleotide ribosomal RNA is filed under the name Bacillota bacterium. Its description in RNAcentral is "Firmicutes bacterium partial 16S ribosomal RNA". It matches the Rfam family "Bacterial small subunit ribosomal RNA", at positions 355 to 776 of the family's 1533-position model. Lineage: Bacteria; Bacillati; Bacillota. The record is from RNAcentral.